GCCCCUCGCCCCCCACCCUAGCCCCCGGAGCGCCAUUCGCGGAGCGGCUUACGCUAGUCGCCAGGCGUACGGCGCCCCAGCGGCCGGGGAGGUGCGCUGCCCGGCUCCCGUAAAGUUAUUGUGAAUGGGGAGCGGGUGACGUCAGCGCCGAAUGUCAACAAUGUAGCGAUUGAGAGUGUGGGCGUUCCGGGGAGAGCGCGAGCCGCGCGGCGCGGAGCAAACAGCGCCGAGCCGCCGCCGCCUCAGCAGCAGCAGCAGCAGCGACCGUGCACACCCGGGCUGCGGUCGCAGCAGCGCUAACGUGAGCGCCCGCCGCCGCCCUCUCCACCCCGCCUGCCUAUUCCCGCGGCCGCCGGGCUCUUGCUUUCUCUCCGGCCUCCCCUCGACCCUUCCCCUCCCCCUACGCGGCACACUCGGGGGGCUGGGAACGAGCUGCCAUGUGAUGUGCGUCCUCUCCAAGAGCUUUCGGUGACCCCCGAACCGCCCACCGCGCCAGCUCCCGGGAGGAGGCUGCAGGCUAGAAAGACACUGGGAAGAGGAGGCGGAAAAGGACGCAAAGUUCUCUGGCGAGCACAGCUGUCUGCUUUGGGAAGUGAAGUCUACAGCAACGAGGAGAAUCUUUCCAAGCUGCCUCGCACUGUGACAUGUCUGAGCCCUUGCUCCAGUCCCUGCAACAUGAACAAGACUCUGCCAUUGAGUAUGAGAGACACUACAGAAAACUUCUGGUGAUUUGGAUACAGUGGGAGGGAGAGGAAUCAAGAUCAUUUAAUCACCCUGUGCCUCAGUUUCAUCAUCUGUGAUAUGGGAACAGUAGCAAGCUACAUAUCACUCAUGGAAUCAUUGUGAGUAGUAAAUGAGCUCGUACAUUAAAAAAAUUUAAAACAGUGCCUGGCACAUAAGAACUCAGCAAGU
RNAcentral lists this long non-coding RNA (912 nucleotides) under Suricata suricatta (meerkat). RNAcentral's name for it is "lncRNA (ENSSSUG00005011961.1)". Lineage: Eukaryota; Metazoa; Chordata; Mammalia; Carnivora; Herpestidae. The record is from RNAcentral.